Molecule: ribosomal RNA, 554 nt
Filed under: uncultured bacterium
Lineage: Bacteria
Description: partial 16S ribosomal RNA
Rfam family: Bacterial small subunit ribosomal RNA
Source: RNAcentral
UAGGGAAUCUUCCACAAUGGACGCAAGUCUGAUGGAGCAACGCCGCGUGAGUGAAGAAGGUUUUCGGACCGUAAAGCUCUGUUGUUGGUGAAGAAGGAUAGAGGUAGUAACUGGCCUUUAUUUGACGGUAAUCAACCAGAAAGUCACGGCUAACUACGUGCCAGCAGCCGCGGUAAUACGUAGGUGGCAAGCGUUGUCCGGAUUUAUUGGGCGUAAAGCGAGCGCAGGCGGAAGAAUAAGUCUGAUGUGAAAGCCCUCGGCUUAACCGAGGAAUUGCAUCGGAAACUGUUUUCUUGAGUGCAGAAGAGGAGAGUAGAACUCCAUGUGUAGCGGUGGAAUGCGUAGAUAUAUGGAAGAAUACCAGUGGCGAAGGCGGCUCUCUGGUCUGCAACUGACGCUGAGGCUCGAAAGCAUGGGUAGCGAACAGGAUUAGAUACCCUGGUAGUCCAUGCCGUAAACGAUGAGUACUAAGUGUUGGGAGGCUUCCGCCUCUCAGUGCUGCAGCUAACGCAUUAAGCACUCCGCCUGGGGGAGUACGACCGCAAGGUUGAAAC